CCUACGGGAGGCUGCAGUGGGGAAUAUUGGACAAUGGGCGAAAGCCUGAUCCAGCCAUGCCGCGUGUGUGAAGAAGGCCUUCGGGUUGUAAAGCACUUUCAGUGGGGAAGAAAGCCUUGGGGCUAAUACCCUCGAGGAAGGACAUCACCCACAGAAGAAGCACCGGCUAACUCCGUGCCAGCAGCCGCGGUAAUACGGAGGGUGCGAGCGUUAAUCGGAAUUACUGGGCGUAAAGCGCGCGUAGGCGGUCUGAUAAGCCGGUUGUGAAAGCCCCGGGCUCAACCUGGGAACGGCAUCCGGAACUGUCAGGCUAGAGUGCAGGAGAGGAAGGUAGAAUUCCAGGUGUAGCGGUGAAAUGCGUAGAGAUCGGGAGGAAUACCAGUGGCGAAGGCGGCCUUCUGGACUGACACUGACGCUGAGGUGCGAAAGCGUGGGUAGCAAACAGGAUUAGAUACCCCUGUAGUC
RNAcentral lists this ribosomal RNA (465 nucleotides) under Vreelandella stevensii. RNAcentral's name for it is "partial 16S ribosomal RNA". It matches the Rfam family "Bacterial small subunit ribosomal RNA", at positions 338 to 795 of the family's 1533-position model. Lineage: Bacteria; Pseudomonadati; Pseudomonadota; Gammaproteobacteria; Oceanospirillales; Halomonadaceae. The record is from RNAcentral.